UACGUAGGGGGCUAGCGUUGUCCGGAUUUACUGGGCGUAAAGAGCGUGUAGGCGGCCACGCAGGUCCGUUGUGAAAACUGGAGGCUCAACCUCCAGCUGUCGACGGAAACCGUAUGGCUAGAGUCCGGAAGAGGAGAGUGGAAUUCCUGGUGUAGCGGUGAAAUGCGCAGAUAUCAGGAAGAACACCAAUGGCGAAGGCAGCUCUCUGGGACGGUACUGACGCUGAGACGCGAAAGCGUGGGGAGCGAACAGG
RNAcentral lists this ribosomal RNA (253 nucleotides) under uncultured bacterium. Its description in RNAcentral is "partial 16S ribosomal RNA". It matches the Rfam family "Bacterial small subunit ribosomal RNA", at positions 524 to 776 of the family's 1533-position model. The record is from RNAcentral.